Long non-coding RNA from Juglans regia (Persian walnut), 1537 nucleotides. RefSeq lists it as uncharacterized. The transcript is spliced from 3 exons. NCBI's taxonomy places the organism in Eukaryota, Viridiplantae, Streptophyta, Magnoliopsida, Fagales, Juglandaceae. The record is from RefSeq and is a predicted model, not a curated record.
UAUACUUUUAUUUUCUCUCUCUUCUUCAUCUUCUAUGGAGGUUGCUCCCCUCGAAGGAGUCUGCUAACAAAAGAAUUACAGUACUUGGGGUUUGUUACAGAUUCCGGGAUGGAAAAUUCGGUGAUAGAGACAAUUGGUUUCGGUAACAAGUUGAUCGGUUCCAGACAAAAAGAAAGCACCGGGAUUCUAAAAUCCAGUUUUUGGGGUCCUGUAAUCUUCUAGCUGAAAGACCCGACGAUGAUCCAAACAACGGUACAUGGAAAUAUGGUUUCAGUCAGUGUCUAGCCAAUUUAAUUUGCUUUACCUUGGAAUUGCGAUAGCUUAUUAGCACAGGUCUUGUAUAUAAAUAAAGCCUUUUACAACAUGACAACGAUCAAUCCCUCUACUCCCAUGGGGUGCAAACAAAAGCUGACACUGCUACACAUUUGAAUGCGUCCAGGCUAUUUUCAUAAAGCAGGCCUUUCUCUGGCGGCAUUUAGUAAUGAGUAUUCCACUACCAGUUUUGUGGAUGUGUUUUAGGUAAAAUCAACGAGAAAUCCUAGACCUCUUCUUUAAUAUAUAUUAUUAUCUCCCCAUAGAAUUCUGGUUAUAAAGUUUCUUAUUUUCCCUGUAGGCCUUUUUCUGGAGUUUGGAUAAUUAUCAGCCACUCAAAUUAAAUAAGGAAAGUCGGUUAACUUAUCUGAUUAAUUUAUAAUGUAAAUUUUAUUCUCCCUCUCUUAUUCAAAUCUAUCUUAAAGAAAUGAUAAGAUUUUAGGGAGUAGGUCAUGCAUUCCUGAUGGUGUUGGUAUUUUUUAAUAAAUAUUAGUUGUAACGUUUGUUUAUUCAUGUCUAGUACUAAUGGUGUUUUUUGAAAUUCUUUUAAGCCAUUAAGGUUAGGAGUUACCUUGGAUUUAUUGUUGACCAUGAUUGAGUAUCUUUUAAAGUUGAUCAGUUUUUUUAAAAAAAUUAAAAAUUAUGGUUGAUAACGUUGGUCAAUGUGUAACCAUGCUCUUAAUUUCUUACUUUGCUUUCAACAGACUCUUUCAAACUCCAGAUGGUUUUUAUCUUUAAUUGUUUUUUGUAAUAUGUAUUAAUGUUGGCUUCUCAAUUAUUUUGGUGUCGUGUCUUUUUAUUCUUGUAAAUGAACGUUUUGUGUUUGGUGUUAAUCUGGAAUAUUAUCUCGUUUGUUUUCACAGAUGAAAUGAGAUGAAUUGAUAAGUUUUGUAAAAGUGAAGGAGUCGUCUUGUACGUGAGUGUCUAUUUUUCAAACAAAUAAUAAAAACCGAUUUUAUGGCUUCUUGUACGUUUCUAUCACAAAUUACUCAUAAUUCCUUGCUGCUUUAUUGAGGUUUUAAUUUCUAUAUUUGAAAAAGAUCAGCUAGAGGGUUUAACACGCAUGGCUGUUUUCAAGAGUCUAUUAUUUUGGGUACAAUAUAGAGGAGUUUGAAUAUAGAAAACAAAAAAAACAAAACAAAACAAAAGAAGUGUGUAUAUAUUUUUGAGAGAUUUUCUAGACAAUAGAGAUGUUCUUUCAGUGGAGCUUUGGGCUUAACUACUU